UGCAAAUUUGGGCCCAAGGUCGUUGG
RNAcentral lists this small RNA (26 nucleotides) under Bombyx mori (domestic silkworm). RNAcentral describes it as "ovarian small RNA-33295". The record is from RNAcentral. Lineage: Eukaryota; Metazoa; Arthropoda; Insecta; Lepidoptera; Bombycidae.